CCUACGGGUGGCAGCAGUGGGGAAUAUUGGACAAUGGGGGGAACCCUGAUCCAGCGACGCCGCGUGAGUGAAGAAGUAUUUCGGUAUGUAAAGCUCUAUCAGCAGGGAAGAAAGAAAUGACGGUACCUGACUAAGAAGCCCCGGCUAACUACGUGCCAGCAGCCGCGGUAAUACGUAGGGGGCAAGCGUUAUCCGGAUUUACUGGGUGUAAAGGGAGCGUAGACGGCGAUGCAAGUCUGAAGUGAAAGGCGGGGGCCCAACCCCCGGACUGCUUUGGAAACUGUAUGGCUGGAGUGCAGGAGAGGUAAGUGGAAUUCCUAGUGUAGCGGUGAAAUGCGUAGAUAUUAGGAGGAACCCCGAUUGCGAAGGCAGCUUACUAAACUGUGACUGACAUUGAUGCUCGAAAGUGUGGGUAUCAAACAGGAUUAGAUACCCUUGUAGUC
Molecule: ribosomal RNA, 443 nt
Filed under: uncultured bacterium
Lineage: Bacteria
Description: partial 16S ribosomal RNA
Rfam family: Bacterial small subunit ribosomal RNA
Source: RNAcentral